GGGAUAGCAGCUGGAAACGGCUGGUAAUACCGCAUAAGCGCACAGUACCACAUGGUACAGUGUGAAAAACUCCGGUGGUAUGAGAUGGACCCGCGUCUGAUUAGCUUGUUGGCGGGGUAACGGCCCACCAAGGCGACGAUCAGUAGCCGACCUGAGAGGGUGACCGGCCACAUUGGGACUGAGACACGGCCCAGACUCCUACGGGAGGCAGCAGUGGGGAAUAUUGCACAAUGGAGGAAACUCUGAUGCAGCGACGCCGCGUGAGUGAAGAAGUAGUUCGCUAUGUAAAGCUCUAUCAGCAGGGAAGAUAGUGACGGUACCUGACUAAGAAGCUCCGGCUAAAUACGUGCCAGCAGCCGCGGUAAUACGUAUGGAGCAAGCGUUAUCCGGAUUUACUGGGUGUAAAGGGAGUGUAGGUGGCCAGGCAAGUCAGAAGUGAAAGCCCGGGGCUCAACCCCGGGACUGCUUUUGAAACUGCAGGGCUAGAGUGCAGGAGGGGCAAGUGGAAUUCCUAGUGUAGCGGUGAAAUGCGUAGAUAUUAGGAGGAACACCAGUGGCGAAGGCGGCUUGCUGGACUGUAACUGACACUGAGGCUCGAAAGCGUGGGGAGCAAACAGGAUUACAUACCCUGGUAGUCCACGCCGUAAACGAUGAAUAAAAGGUGUCGGGGCGCAUAAGUGCUCCGGUGCCGCAG
This 694-nucleotide ribosomal RNA is filed under the name uncultured bacterium. Its description in RNAcentral is "bacterial SSU rRNA". It matches the Rfam family "Bacterial small subunit ribosomal RNA", at positions 140 to 851 of the family's 1533-position model. The record is from RNAcentral.